RNAcentral lists this ribosomal RNA (112 nucleotides) under Virgulinella fragilis. Its description in RNAcentral is "partial 18S ribosomal RNA". It matches the Rfam family "Eukaryotic small subunit ribosomal RNA", at positions 1701 to 1828 of the family's 1831-position model. The record is from RNAcentral. Lineage: Eukaryota; Foraminifera; Rotaliida.
GUGAGUUUGAGGGACUGGGUAUUUUUGCCUAUGGAAACUUAAACGAACAGUGUGGUCUAAAGGAAAGAGAAGUCGUAACAAGGCAUCGGUAGGUGAACCUGCCGAUGGAUCA